RNAcentral lists this ribosomal RNA (622 nucleotides) under uncultured bacterium. RNAcentral's name for it is "bacterial SSU rRNA". The stretch from base 1 to 542 matches the Rfam family "Bacterial small subunit ribosomal RNA", at positions 338 to 873 of the family's 1533-position model. The record is from RNAcentral.
CCUACGGGAGGCAGCAGUGGGGAAUUUUGGACAAUGGGCGAAAGCCUGAUCCAGCCAUUCCGCGUGCAGGAUGAAGGCCCUCGGGUUGUAAACUGCUUUUGUACAGAACGAAAAGGUUUCUAUUAAUACUAGGAGCUCAUGACGGUACUGUAAGAAUAAGCACCGGCUAACUACGUGCCAGCAGCCGCGGUAAUACGUAGGGUGCAAGCGUUAAUCGGAAUUACUGGGCGUAAAGCGUGCGCAGGCGGUUAUAUAAGUCAGAUGUGAAAUCCCCGGGCUCAACCUGGGAACUGCAUUUGAGACUGUAUAGCUAGAGUACGGUAGAGGGGGAUGGAAUUCCGCGUGUAGCAGUGAAAUGCGUAGAUAUGCGGAGGAACACCGAUGGCGAAGGCAAUCCCCUGGACCUGUACUGACGCUCAUGCACGAAAGCGUGGGGAGCAAACAGGAUUAGAUACCCUGGUAGUCCACGCCCUAAACGAUGUCAACUGGUUGUUGGGUCUUAACUGACUCAGUAACGAAGCUAACGCGUGAAGUUGACCGCCUGGGGNGGUAACGGCGCGAGUUAGUAAGUUAAAGUUAAGUUAGAGGNGNGAGAGNGCGAGGACGACGACGAGGGAGGAGG